RNAcentral lists this ribosomal RNA (1302 nucleotides) under Capnogryllacris melanocrania. Its description in RNAcentral is "16S ribosomal RNA". The stretch from base 877 to 1231 matches the Rfam family "Bacterial large subunit ribosomal RNA", at positions 2077 to 2643 of the family's 2925-position model. The record is from RNAcentral. Lineage: Eukaryota; Metazoa; Arthropoda; Insecta; Orthoptera; Gryllacrididae.
AAAGUAUAUAUUAGUGUUAUUGUAAAUUGAUAUUAGGAUUUAAUAAAAGGAAUUUUAUUUAUAGAAGUUUUAGUAUAUUUGUUAGAAAAAAUUUAGGGAUUUAUAGUGAAAAUGUAUUGUGUAAGAAUGAUGAAAUAAUGGAAGAGUAAGUUAAUGGAAAGUAGAUUUAUAUUGUACCUUGUGUAUCAGGGUUAAUUGAAAUUAUAUUUUUAAAAAGAAUAGUCUCGAAUUAAUAGAGAGCGACAGUAUUAGGAUUAAAAAUGUUGCAUAAUUUUAUUCAAUAAUAUUGUAGCAAUGAAAUGUUAUUCGUUCAUUAAGGUAUCUAGUUAUUUAGGAAAUGAAUUUAAUUCAGAUAUUUAUAGAUAAUUUAUUUUUAAUGAAUGAAUUAUUGAUUGAAUAUUAAUAAUUUAAGGGAUGAGCUUUAAGUUAUUGUUAAUAAUAGUUGUUAUUAGAUAAUAAAAUAAAGCUUUUAAUUAGCUGUAUUUUUGUAUGUGUUAUAACUUAUUUAAAUUUAAAUGAAUUUAGAUGAAUUUUAAUUUUUUAUUAAAUUGAUUUUAUUAAUAUUAAUGAAAUGUAAUUAUGAUUAAAUUAGUAUAGAUAUUAGUGAAUAUUAUUUAAUAUAUUGAAAAUUUAUAUUAAGGAAUUCAGCAAAUUAGUGCUCGCCUGUUUAACAAAAACAUGUCUUUUUGGUUAUAUUUAAAGUCUGAUCUGCCCACUGAAUUUUUUUGAAGGGCCGCAGUAUUUUGACUGUGCAAAGGUAGCAUAAUCAUUAGUCUUUUAAUUGAAGGCUAGAAUGAAUGGUUGGACGAGGUAUUAACUGUCUCAAUGUAAAAUUUAGAAUUUAAUUUUUUAGUUAAAAAGCUAAAAUAAAUAUGGAGGACGAGAAGACCCUAUAAAGUUUAAUAUUUUAUUUUAAGAAUUAAUUUAGUGGUAUUUGAUUUUUAAGAAAUAUUUAUUUGGUUGGGGUGAUUUGAAGAAUAAUUAAACUCUUUAUUAUGGGAAACUUAGAUGAUAGGUAAAUUGAUCCAUUAAUAGUGAUUAUAAGAUUAAAUUACUUUAGGGAUAACAGCGUAAUUUUCUUUGAGAGUUCUUAUCGACAAGAAAGAUUGCGACCUCGAUGUUGAAUUAAGAAUAUUAGUGGGUGUAGAAGUUCAUUAAAUAAGUCUGUUCGACUUUUAAAUUCUUACAUGAUUUGAGUUCAGACCGGCGUGAGCCAGGUCGGUUUCUAUCCUUAUGAAAUUAAAACAUUUUAGUACGAAAGGACCAAGUGUUAAGUAAAUUAUUUAAAAAGAGAAUAUUAAU